CCUGAAAACCGGUCUCAGUUCGGAUCGCAGUCUGCAACUCGACUGCGUGAAGGUGGAGUCGCUAGUAAUCGCGGAUCAGCAACGCCGCGGUGAAUGCGGUUCCCGGGCCUUGUACACACCGCCCGUCAAGUCAUGAAAGUGGGCAGCACCCGAAGACGGUGGCCUAACCCUUGUGGGGGGAGCCGUCUAAGGUGAGGCUCGUGAUUGGGACUAAGUCGUAACAAGGUACC
Molecule: ribosomal RNA, 230 nt
Filed under: uncultured bacterium
Lineage: Bacteria
Description: partial 16S ribosomal RNA
Rfam family: Bacterial small subunit ribosomal RNA
Source: RNAcentral